This 303-nucleotide ribosomal RNA is filed under the name uncultured bacterium. RNAcentral's name for it is "partial 16S ribosomal RNA". It matches the Rfam family "Bacterial small subunit ribosomal RNA", at positions 507 to 807 of the family's 1533-position model. The record is from RNAcentral.
AGCAGUCGCCACGGUAAAACGUAGGUGGCAAGCGUUGUCCGGAAUUAUUGGGCGUAAAGGGCUCGCAGGCGGUUUCUUAAGUCUGAUGUGAAAGCCCCCGGCUCAACCGGGGAGGGUCAUUGGAAACUGGGAAACUUGAGUGCAGAAGAGGAGAGUGGAAUUCCACGUGUAGCGGUGAAAUGCGUAGAGAUGUGGAGGAACACCAGUGGCGAAGGCGACUCUCUGGUCUGUAACUGACGCUGAGGAGCGAAAGCGUGGGGAGCGAACAGAAUUAGAUACCCGAGUAGUCCCUGUCUCUUAUAC